Molecule: long non-coding RNA, 1016 nt
Filed under: Calidris pugnax (ruff)
Lineage: Eukaryota; Metazoa; Chordata; Aves; Charadriiformes; Scolopacidae
Description: lncRNA (ENSCPUG00000010950.1)
Source: RNAcentral
ACCUGCAGGAGGGUCUGUAAGCCACACUGCCUGAGCAAUCUGAACUGUGACACCAGCUUUGGUUACUGGCACAGUCCUCCCCGUGGACGCCAGCAGCAGGGAAGCACUGACCACCUCCUGUAUUUGGCUCAUCUGUCUUCUUCCCUUUGAGUACAUCAAUAGGCACCACAAGCUCUUUGCUAUCUCACCACCAAGAUGGAGGAAGUCUGGGUUGUGUACCUCUGCCUGGUCUUGCUUAUCAUCGUGCUUCUACUAAUGAGGCAAAACCCGCAUGUGGAAGAGGCCAAGAAGGAGAGGGAAAGCAAAAGCUCCCCACCAUCCUCUUCCUUUAUUCCCAGUAAUGUCGGCAAACAACUGGAGCACUCCCAGGAAGAGCUGGAGAGCUACCUGGACAGGCUAACCCACGUCUUGUUUGACACAGAAGCCAGGAAAAGGGAUGGCCACCAUGAUCAGAAGUCCCACCAUUACCAUCACAGAAGCACUGAUGUGAUGUUUGAACCCAAGGAGCAUUCAGGAAGGGAGGCAGCACACCCCCAGCAUCUGCCGAGCUACGCAAGGGUCCAGGAGAAAACCACUCCUCCUGGAAGCACUGAGAAUAUUGUGGAAGAGAUUGAGCAAGCGGUUCAGGAGACGGUAGACACAGAUCGGUAUGUGAGAAGAAGACAGCACCCGCCUGCUUCCAGGAGAUACCGUGAGGGUUACCGGCCUGAAACAGCCGUUCAGCCUGAGACUGAUACUACUUAGAGCAGUAGCUGCUCCAGCUUCCACAACGUGUGGCAGCAGCUUGCACAACUAGUGGCAUCGCAGCCUUCCCAGAGGAGACCUGGAGUGAACCAAGGGGUUUGGUGGGGUGGGAUGGGAUCGGGGCAUCUUUAGGGGGGUACCUGGGUGAGGGGAGAAGGAACACUUGAUGUUGCAGUUCUGUUGCAGCUAAGGCAAAAAGCUUUCCCUGUGUUGGGGCCAGGUUAGGUACAUUCGCUGUUUCUUGAGAAUAAACACCUCGUUCUGUUUGUACA